Molecule: ribosomal RNA, 1548 nt
Filed under: Triticum aestivum (bread wheat)
Lineage: Eukaryota; Viridiplantae; Streptophyta; Magnoliopsida; Poales; Poaceae
Description: partial small subunit ribosomal RNA
Source: RNAcentral
AUGAAGGUCGGAGCUAGGGUUUUCACCCUGGAAAUCAAGACUCGGUACUCGAGGAGCACCACCCAAAUUGAAGUCCCCCAGUGUUGCUGCCCCACUUGCCGAGGCCGCUGCUACAAACCACCAAUCAUCAAACUCACAGGCAUCAUGUGUGCGGUUUGGACGGGCAUGAUCUCGCAGCUGAACUGUGCCCUCAUAACAACAUCGCCACCCCACACGGGCCAACCUCCACCUUCUGCACCGCGCACGGGCAAGCCCUCACCUUCUUCGGAGAUUGAUCCUGCCGCCACCAAGGCAGAGGCCAGCAGCAGCGACACCAGGGAAGGCCGCAGUGGACAGUGGCUGGCGGAUUGGCUCCUGGCGUCGCCUGGGGGGCGACGUCUAGGAGUGAACCGUUCCGUAGGCUCAAGCCAUUUUAUGCUCCUGUCUUUGGUGUUCCUUGGGCCACUUUUGAGCGUCAACACAUGGAUGAAGGUUGGAGAGGGGAGGCGAUACUCGGGUCUGAUGCAAGAGUGCUCGAGGUGCGGCGGAGGGUGGGUUGGCUGCAACCAGCGAUGGAGCUCAGAAACAGGUGCAAGUGAGGAGAAGAAUGAAGCCAUAUGGAUUUCCAUGAGUACAUUUAGAGCUGCUGAGAACCUAUGCAAGAACCUAUGCAAGGAUUUGUUUUUUGGCGAGAUGCGUCCGGCAGGCAGUGGCGCUUACCAGAUCGAUUCGAUCUCGGCUAGUUGUGGCACAGUUGCAGCAGGAGCGGCUCGAAACAGGCUAGGAAGGUGUGCAUCGCAUGGGGGAGCUCCUAUGCUCCGCUCGUUGCGGCAAAUAGUUGACCGCCCGCACAGGAGUGCUCCGACUGGGCCGGCCCAUAUUUGGGCAUACUGUGUAAAGCUUGAACUGGGCCAGCCCAUCUCCUGUCCCAAGCAUGCUCGUCCUAUCGCACACCAUCAAUCGUUCACGGACCAGCCCAUGACGGGUGCUUCAUACAGAAAAAAUACCGCAAAAAAUGAACGAAAAGGAUUCAACCUCAAACCUCCCAUGCUUCAAGCCCAGCCGUGCGCAAUUCCCUUUUCCUUUUCCAUCCCCUCCUCCUCCGCUGCAGCUGCCCUGCUGCUUCCCCUCCCCCUCCUCGCCGAGGCGCCUCACGAGCGCUGUGCCCGCACGAGCGCCGCGAGGGAGGUGGCUAGGCCGGAAGCGGCCAAUACGGCGAGGCGGUGCCUGUCUGGCGGCCGUACGGCCUCCGCCGCGUGCGCGACCUUGCUCCUGCGCCUCCUACCCGGGCUGGACCUCCCCCCGUGCGUCGUCCCCACCCGCAUCACCAAGCUUCCCAACGGCGUCCGCGACUCCGCGUCGCCUCCGAGGAUGUCCAGGUACUACCCACCUCCCCCUCCCCUCUUCCUUCCGAUGAGUCCAUGGCUGACAGCGGCACCGUCUCCGAGCUCACGAACACCUGGAUUUGACAGGGAGCAGCACAGGGAUGGCGAAUUAUGCCGCUCUGCUCUGAUGAUGCCGUCAGAGCACAACUUGCUCGUUCUCAGCAUGAGGAAGAAGAUGAUUUAA